Molecule: long non-coding RNA, 1364 nt
Organism: Triticum aestivum (bread wheat)
Lineage: Eukaryota; Viridiplantae; Streptophyta; Magnoliopsida; Poales; Poaceae
Exons: 2
Source: RefSeq, a predicted model, not a curated record
CAUCCCCCCCCCCCCCCCGCACGCACCGCCCGAGCUCGCGUCGCCCAGAUCCCCUUCUCACCCUGCCUCACCCGCACCGUCGAGCAGCACGACCACCUCACCGGCCAGUUCCGCCCCUCUGCUCGUCACCACUACAUCGUCCUCCCGGCCGAUGCGACCCCCGGGCGACAUGCAGGUGCGCCAUCCUGGCACUAGGGGUCGAGGAUCCAUCAUCGUGGUUCGUGCUUCGCCAGGUUAUCAAUCAUCUGAAUCAGCUACUGGAGUACCACCCGCCCGCGGAAUAACCAGCUGCCGGAGUAUUAUUUGAUAUGUUCAUAACUUGGUUUUUGUUCCCUCUUGGGUGAGAAUUUGUAUUGUAAUUGUGUAUUAGAUCACUGAAUCAUCAACAAACUGUUGAGAAUUCGGUAUGUAUAUCACACAAACAUGCAUCCCCAUCUAGGCGACAAUAUAUUUACUCCCGUUUUAAAUUUCCACAGUUCCAAGCAACACUAGUUAUGUUCCUAGAGCACUCUUUCAUGCUUCUUAUCAAUGGUACUUUGCAAUACAUACGGCCCAUGUUGGCCGCAAUCUUGGUUUGUUUCCGUUUCCAAUGUUCUAUUCUUCCAAUUAAGGUGAGUCAUGUUGAGAUAGCAUAUUUUUCAUGCUUCCUAGGUGCUUCUCAUGUACUGAUGCUUCUUCACCCGUUCAUCGUAUUAUAUGUACGUACAAAUCGACUUCAAUCUCCUGGCAUGCUUCCUAGGUGUAGAUAUCACUUCUUAAUAGCAUCCAGGCUUCUUGAGGUGAUUCUUAAGUACAAAUGCUUCCUAGGUGAUUACAAAAGCUUCCAUAUAUCUGAUGUAUAGAUGGAACUUCGAUCUUUUGCCAUGUUUCCUACGUGUACAAAUGCUUCUGAGCACGUGGAUAAUUAUUUUACAGUUUUGCUAGAACUCAUUUAGAUGAGAUUUAAUUUGGUCUCAUUCAUCUUUUAUAGCCAUUCGAUGUGAUGCUAUAAGAUGCGUGUGUUCUGACGUGGGUUGUAUCCGUUCUUGUUUUCCAGGUGAAUGAGACCAAAUUACGUCUCAUCUAGAUGAGUUCUAGAAGCAAAUUCUCUGGUCAAUGGAAACAAAAUUAUACAAUGUGGCGACCUUAACCGUCUUCCUCUCUAUGACGCCGAAAGAAUGGAAUUGAGAAUUUACGAACCAUUGUUCUACGUAAAGCGUGUACGGGAACAUACCGCUCAGUAGACCGAAGCAAUGUCAUAGGAUAUAGGAAGACAGACUUGAGCAUAUGAAGCAGUGUAAUAUUUUUGGAGACAUGAAGGAAGCAAAUGUAUUGGUAGUCGAACACAAGUUAUAUCAGUGGAUGAAGCACAUAAAUUUCAGCGA